RNAcentral lists this ribosomal RNA (704 nucleotides) under Maytenus chubutensis. Its description in RNAcentral is "eukaryotic LSU rRNA". The stretch from base 287 to 442 matches the Rfam family "5.8S ribosomal RNA". Lineage: Eukaryota; Viridiplantae; Streptophyta; Magnoliopsida; Celastrales; Celastraceae. The record is from RNAcentral.
UUUCCGUAGGUGAACCUGCGGAAGGAUCAUUGUCGAAACCUGCAAGGCAGAACGACCCGCGAACAAGUGAAAAACUAUCGCUCGCGGCAGGCCUCGGGGCCGGUCGCCAGAAGAAGUCCAGGGAGAUGGCUGUGGGAAACUAUGGCUCCUAUUUCCUUGGGCACAAACAACGAACCCCGGCGCGAAUUGCGUCAAGGAAACGAAAAAAAGAAGACGUGCGCUCCCCUCGUCCCGGAAACGGUAUCGCGAGGGGUCUGCGUCGUCGUGAUAUCACAAUAGAUGAAACGACUCUCGGCAACGGAUAUCUCGGCUCUCGCAUCGAUGAAGAACGUAGCGAAAUGCGAUACUUGGUGUGAAUUGCAGAAUCCCGUGAACCAUCGAGUUUUUGAACGCAAGUUGCGCCCGAAGCCGUCAGGCCGAGGGCACGCCUGCCUGGGUGUCACGCAACGUCGCCAAGAAUCGACUCUCCCCCUUCCGCGGGGAAACAUCGAGUGAUGGCGGAUAUUGGCCUCCCGUGCGCUCCCGCUCUCGGUUGGCCCAAAAAACAGUCCCCUGGCGACGGCAGCCACGGCACACGGUGGAUGGCAGCACAGGCUCCUCGAACACCGCCGUGGGCGAGCCUCGUCGAUGGGUAGCCGAAGGCCCCGACGCAAGCGUCCUCAAAAAGCGACCCCAGGUCAGGCGGGAACACCCGCUGAGUUUAA